UACGAAGGGGGCUAGCGUUGCUCGGAAUCACUGGGCGUAAAGCGCACGUAGGCGGCUUUCUAAGUCAGGGGUGAAAUCCUGGAGCUCAACUCCAGAACUGCCUUUGAUACUGGAAAGCUUGAGUUCGGGAGAGGUGAGUGGAACUGCGAGUGUAGAGGUGAAAUUCGUAGAUAUUCGCAAGAACACCAGUGGCGAAGGCGGCUCACUGGCCCGAUACUGACGCUGAGGUGCGAAAGCGUGGGGAGCAAACAGG
This 253-nucleotide ribosomal RNA is filed under the name uncultured bacterium. Its description in RNAcentral is "partial 16S ribosomal RNA". It matches the Rfam family "Bacterial small subunit ribosomal RNA", at positions 524 to 776 of the family's 1533-position model. The record is from RNAcentral.